RNAcentral lists this unclassified non-coding RNA (339 nucleotides) under Hevea brasiliensis (rubber tree). Lineage: Eukaryota; Viridiplantae; Streptophyta; Magnoliopsida; Malpighiales; Euphorbiaceae. The record is from RNAcentral.
AAGACAAAGACAAAGACAAAGACAGGGAGAAAGAGAAAUCAGAAGACAAAGAUAAAAUGCAGAAUGCAGAUCUGAAGUCUGGUGUUGGUACUGUGAGCCAUGGAGUGCAUGGGAAGAGUCUUGAUGCGAGUUCUAAGAAUGUCAAAGUUCAUCGAAAGCCGCCUCACAGCUUUGUAAGUGUUAUUGAGCUUCUCUUGGAUCCGGUUGUCAAGUUUGUUCCUCCUUUGAAAGAUGAACCAGCAACAAAAGAGAGCCUUGGUUCAACAGAUAUGGAGAUUGAUAUAUCCGCGAACAAGGGUAAAGGAAAAGCUAUCGCCUCUGCUUCUGAAGCAAGUGAAG